Molecule: transfer RNA, 96 nt
Filed under: Curtobacterium sp. MCSS17_016
Lineage: Bacteria; Bacillati; Actinomycetota; Actinomycetes; Micrococcales; Microbacteriaceae
Description: tRNA-Ser
Rfam family: tRNA
About the family: Transfer RNA (tRNA) molecules are approximately 80 nucleotides in length. Their secondary structure includes four short double-helical elements and three loops (D, anti-codon, and T loops). Further hydrogen bonds mediate the characteristic L-shaped molecular structure. tRNAs have two regions of fundamental functional importance: the anti-codon, which is responsible for specific mRNA codon recognition, and the 3' end, to which the tRNAs corresponding amino acid is attached (by aminoacyl-tRNA synthetases). tRNAs cope with the degeneracy of the genetic code in two manners: having more than one tRNA (with a specific anti-codon) for a particular amino acid; and 'wobble' base-pairing, i.e. permitting non-standard base-pairing at the 3rd anti-codon position.
Source: RNAcentral
GGGAGGGCCAGCCGAAUGACGGCGGCGGCACCCGAUUCGAAAUCGGACUGCUAGGUAACCACCCCUGGCGUGUGGGUUCGAUCCCCACCCCUUCCG